AUAUAUAUAUAUUUUUUUUUUCGCCUUUUAUAAAUCGACCACCUCUCCUCUUCCAAAUAACUCGAUCGAUAACGUUUAGAUGAGAACCACUGCGACGAAGCAGAUUAUCCUAUAAAGAAGUAGACUGACCCGACAAACGCAGCUGCUGUCCUUGGCCUCGCAAAAAGCCAAAAUUAGAAAUGGCACUUAGUAACUCGGAGAAAGAGAUUG
Molecule: long non-coding RNA, 210 nt
Organism: Apis florea (little honeybee)
Lineage: Eukaryota; Metazoa; Arthropoda; Insecta; Hymenoptera; Apidae
Source: RefSeq, a predicted model, not a curated record